UAUGUUGCCUUUGUACUUACAUGUAGUCUGCGCAGGGCGCACGACAAAUAGGAUUUGGUCUUAAAAAGAGAGAGGUCAUCGAUGGAUGUUCGAAACAAUACACAUCGAUCGCCGCCACAUUCGAUAAAGACAAGAUAUCCUGAAGGAAGAUCGUUAUGAUUAAACCCGUUAGGGGAGAAGACAUCUCAAUUCAAUAUUAUCACCGUCGUCAUCGUCAACGGUUUGCUAUAGUAUCAACAGCUUAUUACUGAAGUACAAGAAACUGCUUAGGGCUUUAUUGCCAAAGCCUGUUGUCGUAUAAUUAAAUAAUUUCCCAUUCUGAAACCAUCAGCUGCGUUUGCCCUCAAGAUUCACUCGGAAAAGAAUAUAGGUACAUUUAUUUUAUUUGUACAGUUUUCAAUAUAAGAAUUAUUUACUAA
Photinus pyralis (common eastern firefly) is the source of this 419-nucleotide long non-coding RNA. RefSeq lists it as uncharacterized. NCBI's taxonomy places the organism in Eukaryota, Metazoa, Arthropoda, Insecta, Coleoptera, Lampyridae. The record is from RefSeq and is a predicted model, not a curated record. The transcript has 2 exons.